Molecule: ribosomal RNA, 207 nt
Filed under: uncultured bacterium
Lineage: Bacteria
Description: partial 16S ribosomal RNA
Rfam family: Bacterial small subunit ribosomal RNA
Source: RNAcentral
CUCGUAGGCGGUUCGUCGCGUCCGGUGUGAAAGUCCAUCGCUUAACGGUGGAUCCGCGCCGGGUACGGGCGGGCUUGAGUGCGGUAGGGGAGACUGGAAUUCCCGGUGUAACGGUGGAAUGCGCAGAUAUCAGGAGGAACACCGGUGGCGAAGGCGGGUCUCUGGGCCAUUACUGACGCUGAGGAGCGAAAGCGUGGGGAGCGAACA